Molecule: ribosomal RNA, 578 nt
Filed under: uncultured bacterium
Lineage: Bacteria
Description: bacterial SSU rRNA
Rfam family: Bacterial small subunit ribosomal RNA
Source: RNAcentral
AGAGUUUGAUCAUGGCUCAGAUUGAACGCUGGCGGCAGGCUUAACACAUGCAAGUCGAGCGGGGGAGGUUGCUUCGGUAAUCGACCUAGCGGCGGACGGGUGAGUAAUACUUAGGAAUCUGCCUAUUAAUGGGGGACAACAUCUCGAAAGGGAUGCUAAUACCGCAUACGCCCUACGGGGGAAAGCAGGGGAUCACUUGUGACCUUGCGUUAAUAGAUGAGCCUAAGUCGGAUUAGCUAGUUGGUGGGGUAAAGGCCUACCAAGGCGACGAUCUGUAGCGGGUCCGAGAGGAUGAUCCGCCACACUGGGACUGAGACACGGCCCAGACUCCUACGGGAGGCAGCAGUGGGGAAUAUUGGACAAUGGGGGGAACCCUGAUCCAGCCAUGCCGCGUGUGUGAAGAAGGCCUUAUGGUUGUGAAGCACUUUAAGCGAGGAGGAGGCUCUUUUGGUUAAUACCCAAGAUGAGUGGACGUUACUCGCAGAAUAAGCACCGGCUAACUCUGUGCCAGCAGCCGCGGUAAUACAGAGGGUGCGAGCGUUAAUCGGAUUUACUGGGCGUAAAGCGUGCGUAGGCGG